GAUUGUGUUACAGUUCAAGUCUAGAGAAUGUCUUCAGGUAGAUUCUCUUCCAGCUCCAAGUGAGUUCAUUCCCUCACUGGAGACCAGCUGAGACAUCCAGCCUAGUGAAAUGAAAAACUAUUGGAUUCUUGGACUUUCCAUUGAGCGACAGCCAUUGUUGAACUAGCUGGCCACAGAUGUCUCCAGAGUAGCUCAGUCCAAACAAGUCUCAUUGUCCUCAGGAGAUGGCUCCCUGCUGUAACUCCACCAUCUGAGAGCAUGCUAGCCUGCAACCAAAGUCAGGCACACCACGCUCGGCCUAGGACUUCCAGCCUGACCUUGUAACCCUCCAGGCUGAUUCUGUGGCCGUGGACUGGACUUCCUGGCUGUGUCAGAAGGAAUGGAUGGUUUAUCUUUCUUUGUGCUUAGCUGUCCAUCACCUGCUUCUUCCUUCUUCCUGUCCUGGGAUUACCACCACCUCUCCUUUCUCAGCCUGAGUCUUCUUAUAAUGACGCCUGGGGGAAAGUUAUAAAACACCAUCUUACUCCA
This is a long non-coding RNA of Mastomys coucha (southern multimammate mouse), 528 nucleotides long. RefSeq lists it as uncharacterized. The transcript has 3 exons. NCBI's taxonomy places the organism in Eukaryota, Metazoa, Chordata, Mammalia, Rodentia, Muridae. The record is from RefSeq and is a predicted model, not a curated record.